This 1177-nucleotide unclassified non-coding RNA is filed under the name Hevea brasiliensis (rubber tree). The record is from RNAcentral. Lineage: Eukaryota; Viridiplantae; Streptophyta; Magnoliopsida; Malpighiales; Euphorbiaceae.
CCUUUACCUGAUCCAGGAGGACCUGCCAAUCACACAACUUAAGAUUACAAUAUGUAAAUAUGAAUUUCCUGCUAUAUAUCAGUAAAUUAUUGCUGUCAGCUGCAAGAACAAUAUGCAACAUACUAAAUGUUCCCUCAAGAUACCUGUGAUGAAUUUGAACCUAAGACUAAAACAAGGAAAUAAAUCAAUGUCACCCAAAGAUUAAAACUGCAAUUGCAGAAAUAGCAUAUUGAAGAACCUAAAGAGAAAAGACCCAAAAAAAAUCUAGGUUUGAGCCAUAAACCAAAUCCAAUUAUCCAAAGAUAUUGUCUAUAUAAAUUGCAAGAAAGAAAAAAUAAUCCUCUAUCCAAUUAUAAGGUAAUCAUCAAAUAAAGUUUAAUAAAAAAAAAGAUCCAACUUUUACAGCUUUGCACCGUUUUACUUUCUGCUUCCUAAUUCCUAAAACAUUCCUCUGGAAAUUGCAGCGUUAUACAGAAAUAUCCAAACAGCAUUUUGUCUAUAAUCAAAAUAAAAUAACAUGAACUGCACAAAACGGAGGCAGGCCUUCUUUAUCUUCAUUUAUCAUGAACCAAACCUAGAGUUAUGUGGAACUCAUUGAAAAAAAUAAAUCUAAACGCUUAAGAACACUAGAAAUCCCACUACAUAUGAGGGAAAAGUAAAGAUAAUUUUAUUUUUUCACGUUUGCACAUAACAAAAAUUUAAAAAACAAAAAGCCUACAUUUGACUAAAACACAAUCCUUCCUAUUUCCGGGAUUUAUCUCAGCAACCAAACAGAAGUCAGAAUCAAAUAACUAUCCACAACAACAACAGCAAAUUCUCGGAUCUGAAUGGACCGUUUAAUUUCACAGAAUAAUUCAAAUAGAGAGAGAGAGAAGAAACUUGAUAAUGGAAUGCAUGUUAUAUACACAAAAAUGUAUUGCAUAUGCCUAUAGAGAGAGAGAGAAAGACCGAUUAGAAUGAGGCGCUUGUCAGGCUUAGCGGAGCACUUCAUGCGACGGAGGAGCUCCGUCAUGAGAUUCACAGAGGGCACAUCUUCCAAGCUUGCGGCUGAGCUGCUGGCCAUUAACUUAAAAUUUUACUUGCAAGCAAAACGAAUAGCGUUUUCGGAACAAGCGGUAGGCCUGUGCGGGCAAAGGAGCGGAUGUUUGGUGGUGCUUUACUGCUUUUAGUUGUUCGU